Setaria italica (foxtail millet) is the source of this 774-nucleotide long non-coding RNA. RefSeq lists it as uncharacterized. NCBI's taxonomy places the organism in Eukaryota, Viridiplantae, Streptophyta, Magnoliopsida, Poales, Poaceae. The record is from RefSeq and is a predicted model, not a curated record. The transcript has 3 exons.
ACCCAGGUCCGUUCCCAGCUUCAACGUCAAGGUGGCGGCCAGUCCGCAUCUCAAUUUCACGGCCAACUCUCGCUAUCGCAGAACCAAAACCAAAUCACGCGCGCCGCUACCCCCCGCUCUGUUUUCUCUGAGAUGCGGAGUUGCCCAUUCGCCGGGUCCAACUCCAGGAGAAGAAAGAGGGAAGCAGAUGGGAUCGUGGGACGGACUUGGAAGGGAUCAAGGGAGCGCUGCGCGGGGGUUUCAGGCCCUCUUCAUCCGUCAGAAAUUAGUCCGUAUGCUGCUGCAGAAGGAAGUGAAACUGCGAGUUCUGCCUCAGUAGUGGCGGUGGCUCCACAUCUGAAGGGUCGAUGUCAAGCAUCAGUCGUGCUAUAUCAUCCAAGGAUAUAGAAAAAAAAAGGAGGGAUCUUCACCUCUUCAGUUGUUCUAGAGCACCACUGCUCCAGUUCCUGUAAGCCAGCCUUUAAGAACUCCCCAUUGCUAAAAGAGCAGCAUUCCCGACGAAGUAGCAAACUAAACAAAAACAAAAAGGUAGAGGCAUGGUACAGUCCAGAAUCAACCAUGUAAAUUCAGUCAAGAAUAGUUAAGAAAUGGUACAGUAUAUAGUAAUACCUGUUGAAGAGUUGCACAUUCAAAUAUGCAUAUACUUGACUAAAUGUUUUCUUGAUUAUCAUUGGAGGUACCUACAUACAAAAUUAAAAUUGAAUUCAGUAAUUCAUUUCUGUAGUUCCUUAACUGUAAGGUAGCUGAAAAAUAUUAAGAUUGGACUCACAUGGU